This is a long non-coding RNA of Oncorhynchus tshawytscha (Chinook salmon), 302 nucleotides long. The record is from Ensembl. Lineage: Eukaryota; Metazoa; Chordata; Actinopteri; Salmoniformes; Salmonidae.
CAGAGUCAAUGUGGAGGCUAUAUACAGGGAGUACCGGUACAGAGUCAAUGUGGAGGCUAUAUACAGGGAGUAAAGGUACAGAGUCAAUGUGGAGGCUAUAUACAGGGAGUAAAGGUACAGAGUCAAUGUGGAGGCUAUAUACAGGGAGUAAAGGUACAGAGUCAAUGUGGAGGCUAUAUACAGGGAGUAAAGGUACAGAGUCAAUGUGGAGGCUAUAUACCGGGAGUAAAGGUACAGAGUCAAUGUGGAGGCUAUAUGCAGGGAGUACCGGUACAGAGUCAAUGUGGAAGCUAUAUACAGGG